RNAcentral lists this ribosomal RNA (1492 nucleotides) under Lacticaseibacillus rhamnosus. RNAcentral describes it as "bacterial SSU rRNA". It matches the Rfam family "Bacterial small subunit ribosomal RNA". Lineage: Bacteria; Bacillati; Bacillota; Bacilli; Lactobacillales; Lactobacillaceae. The record is from RNAcentral.
GAUGAACGCUGGCGGCGUGCCUAAUACAUGCAAGUCGAACGAGUUCUGAUUAUUGAAAGGUGCUUGCAUCUUGAUUUAAUUUUGAACGAGUGGCGGACGGGUGAGUAACACGUGGGUAACCUGCCCUUAAGUGGGGGAUAACAUUUGGAAACAGAUGCUAAUACCGCAUAAAUCCAAGAACCGCAUGGUUCUUGGCUGAAAGAUGGCGUAAGCUAUCGCUUUUGGAUGGACCCGCGGCGUAUUAGCUAGUUGGUGAGGUAACGGCUCACCAAGGCAAUGAUACGUAGCCGAACUGAGAGGUUGAUCGGCCACAUUGGGACUGAGACACGGCCCAAACUCCUACGGGAGGCAGCAGUAGGGAAUCUUCCACAAUGGACGCAAGUCUGAUGGAGCAACGCCGCGUGAGUGAAGAAGGCUUUCGGGUCGUAAAACUCUGCUGUUGGAGAAGAAUGGUCGGCAGAGUAACUGUUGUCGGCGUGACGGUAUCCAACCAGAAAGCCACGGCUAACUACGUGCCAGCAGCCGCGGUAAUACGUAGGUGGCAAGCGUUAUCCGGAUUUAUUGGGCGUAAAGCGAGCGCAGGCGGUUUUUUAAGUCUGAUGUGAAAGCCCUCGGCUUAACCGAGGAAGUGCAUCGGAAACUGGGAAACUUGAGUGCAGAAGAGGACAGUGGAACUCCAUGUGUAGCGGUGAAAUGCGUAGAUAUAUGGAAGAACACCAGUGGCGAAGGCGGCUGUCUGGUCUGUAACUGACGCUGAGGCUCGAAAGCAUGGGUAGCGAACAGGAUUAGAUACCCUGGUAGUCCAUGCCGUAAACGAUGAAUGCUAGGUGUUGGAGGGUUUCCGCCCUUCAGUGCCGCAGCUAACGCAUUAAGCAUUCCGCCUGGGGAGUACGACCGCAAGGUUGAAACUCAAAGGAAUUGACGGGGGCCCGCACAAGCGGUGGAGCAUGUGGUUUAAUUCGAAGCAACGCGAAGAACCUUACCAGGUCUUGACAUCUUUUGAUCACCUGAGAGAUCAGGUUUCCCCUUCGGGGGCAAAAUGACAGGUGGUGCAUGGUUGUCGUCAGCUCGUGUCGUGAGAUGUUGGGUUAAGUCCCGCAACGAGCGCAACCCUUAUGACUAGUUGCCAGCAUUUAGUUGGGCACUCUAGUAAGACUGCCGGUGACAAACCGGAGGAAGGUGGGGAUGACGUCAAAUCAUCAUGCCCCUUAUGACCUGGGCUACACACGUGCUACAAUGGAUGGUACAACGAGUUGCGAGACCGCGAGGUCAAGCUAAUCUCUUAAAGCCAUUCUCAGUUCGGACUGUAGGCUGCAACUCGCCUACACGAAGUCGGAAUCGCUAGUAAUCGCGGAUCAGCACGCCGCGGUGAAUACGUUCCCGGGCCUUGUACACACCGCCCGUCACACCAUGAGAGUUUGUAACACCCGAAGCCGGUGGCGUAACCCUUUUAGGGAGCGAGCCGUCUAAGGUGGGACAAAUGAUUAGGGUG